UGCCAUGAAAUCCCCUUGCAAAAACCACUCACAAUCGUUCUCACUCUCACUCUCACUCUCACUCUCACUCUCAUGUUGUGAAACCACCUCUUGCUCUUCCUCAGUCAUCUCUUGUUUUACCUCUCCGAUCUCUCACUCCGCCUCAUCGAUCUCAAAAUUCGUAAAUCGAAACCACAAUCGCGUAAUUCCUCGUCUUCGCCACCGUCGCAGGCUCUCACCGGAAUUUGGAACGACCUGGAGGAGAUCAGUAGUAGCUUCAAGAACUUUCUAUCGCUUCUCUCAUCCAACAGAGCCGUCCGGGGAUCUCCAAACUCACCUCUCAGCUGUUCCAGCUGGAGCCCGACCACAAAUGGCAAGGUGACGUCGACGACGAUGGCGACGCGGUGCCUGGUACGAUGGAGGAGGUUGUUCGUUUCGUCAAGGAAAUUUCCACGCGACCUGAUUGUUGGACUGAAUUCCCCUUGCCAUUCCAUCACGGAAGUGGUGGUUCUAAUGCUAACAACUAAUGGCGUGGUUUCUUCAAGCUUCUCAAGAAAGGCUCACAGAUGCCAUUUCAACCAUUUCACCUUCUUAAAAAGAAUGUUCCUAAGUUAACUAGAAGGAAGAGUAAGAGGGUUAGAUAGGAUUCAGUUUGCUAACUUCAAAUCUUUAUGGAAGAAUUUCACUCUCUCUGAACUCCAGGCUGCAACUGAUGACUUCAGCCAUGAUAAUGUAAUUGGGGAGGGAGGGUAUGCAGAGGUAUACUUAGGAAAAUUGGAAGAUGGAACCUUUGUUGCCAUUAAGAAGCUGACAAGAGAGAACCAAGAAGAAAUGACUGCAGAAUUUUUGUCUGAGCUUGGAAUCAUAUGCUGCAAUUUAUCUUUGCUUAGUAAAUUUUGUCUCUCUUCGACAUUGCACAAUGCAUUGAACAAGGUACUUCAUUAGGAUCAAAUGAACAUGUUGCGCAAGCUGGUGCAGAAUAGUUGUAAUUAUCCAAUUUUGACAGGUAUGAUAUUAAAUAUUAACUUCCUUUAAGCAUUAUAUAUAUUUUUUUAUCUAAAAAUUUACAAGUGUACUUUGAAAGUCACUGGCAACAAGUUAAUGAUUCAAGGGUAGAGAUAUAGUCAGUGGCUCAGUUUUUGCAGCAAAAUCAGGGAAGUCAACUGAGGCUUCUCCAAGAAAUCUAGAUUUUGAAAAUCCCUGCAGGGGAGGAUAAAAGUUAGACCCUCUAUUCGACGUCCUAGUCCGGUAGACUAUAUAGUAUGCAAUUACAAGUCUACAGGUUAAAGUUGAAAUGAAAAAAUGAUAGAUUUUUUCCUGUAGUUUUCCUGAUUUUGUGUCUCUAACGAAUUUAAUUGUUUCAAAAAUUGGUUUAUCCCAUAAACAUGAUCCAACCUGGAUAGAAACUUUUUCUAGUUUAACUGUUGGCUUCCCAGCACCAUCUGGAAUCAAAGCUAUCAUCAGUGCUGCCUUUUUCAUCUUUGGUACCUGAUAGAAAGGAGAAGAGAACAAGGUAAGAUAUUGUAUACAGAAUCUGUUCAUAGGCAUGACAUGCCCAGACAGCCCAGUGUAUCUUAGCUUUCAUACUCCUUAACUAUCUAUGAGAUCCACUGUAUCUUUCAAACUUCCUGGUAAAUAUAUUUUGAGUAAAAGCUGGGACAAACCCCAUUUUUCGAUUUAGUAUAAGAUAAGAUGGCAUAAAAACUUUGUUAUGCCUUAGUGAGUGUUACCUGAGUCGCCUGAAAUUGCAGUUUGAAUAUAGCUUUUAUUUUGUUCUUCUUGCUCCAUGACCUGAACAUGAUUUUCUGAAUGAUUGAUAAAAUAUUGCAGUUUGGUUUUAUGGAAGACUGACAGUACAUGAUUUUCUGAAUGAUUGAUAAAAUAUUGCAGUUUGGUUUUAUGGAAGACUGACAGUGUUUAAUUCCUAGGAGUCCCAGUGACACGUCAUUGAUGAGUUAGCCAGUUGUGUUGAUUUGAAACUUGAAAGUACGUUUCUGACAGAUUCAGUUACCAACUGGAAUGAAAUGUCGGUAUGCUCUUGUUAAAUCCCUUCCUUCUGAUUUAUUGGCUUAGUUACUAGUACUAGAUGAUAUACUGAACUUGUAUGGUUACUUCAUCAGCAAACUUAAUAGAAGUUAAUUUGAUACUAAAAGCUUCUUCAGAAGGCUAAAGGGACUGAGGAAAUAAAUAAAGGAACGUUUCUGAAAUGUAUGGUUCACUUUUCUGGUUUUAGCUUUUGUUUUUUACUUUAAAGAAAAUGGAAGGGGUCAUCUGAGGGAGCGAGACAAAAUAAAAUCACAAGAUUGACCCAUACAACUUUAUUUUCUUAGGUGUAUCUUUUCAAAUGCAAAAGCAUAAUGAACUGUAUCUCUGUUGAUGUAAGUUCAAUUAUUUUUCCAUUGAAAUAGAUAGACCCAAAUAUUUAAUAGUAAGUAAAUACUUAAAAUAAGAAACAUAUAUAGAAUAUUUAAUAUUCUUAACAAACUUGCAGAACAAAAUGUCAAAACUAAAAGGGAAAUAGAUCUAUUUUAUAUCUUAGUAGGGGAAAUUAAUAAAUUUGCACUAAUUUAUAUCUUAGAAAUGAAAAAUUAAUAAAUUUUCUUAUCAAUAAUGUUCUUAGAAAGGGAAUAGGAAAACUGGAAUCACAAAAAUAACUUGCAAAUUUGAAGUUUGAAAUUCAGAGACUUUUACAUAAAAAAGCAUGUAGAACAUAGGAGUUUGUUUUUCCAAAAUUUGUUUCCCAAAUUCAUAAGAUUGUUGUUGAUUGCUUUUUGGUAGUCUUGACCGGUCCAAGAAUGUAGAAAUCUUAGUAAAGGAUCUGAAAGUGUCUGCUACUUUUAAUGAAGAAUUGUUUAAGGAAAUCACACAGCUUUUGAUAUUGGAGAAUUUUAGGUAUGAGUAUAUAUGUUGGCAUCUUGUGGGUUUUGGUGUUAUCGUUAUCCAAAAAGUGAGCUUUGAUAGGAUUUCGAACAAUUUCCAGUUUUAAAAUUGUAAAUAGGCUACAUGAAUUUGUAUAUAGGACAAUUGUUUAUGUUGUUGUCUUCCUAGGAUGUGUUUUGUUCCAUAGUGCUCCAUUGGAGCAGGGACAAUUUUCACAGUUCUUGCAACAUUGAAGAUCAUGUCAGAACCAGUUAGCAUGACCCCUGAGGCUCUCUCUAUUCUUAUCCAAGUUGUGGUAUCUUUCGAUCGGCUCAAUACCUUUUUGCUUGCUGAAGAGUUAGGCAAUAAUGAAAUUGUAAGGAGUGUUAAGCAAAGUUCAGUUGGUGACAAUAAUGCUGUAGAAAUUGAAGGUGAAAACUUGGAAUUUCAUACUGCAGAGGUGAUUCCAUGAUUACUUUUCUUUAGGUUUUAUUUCUGCCCACUAUGAGUUCUUGUUGCCUUUUUAUUUGAUGAGCAUUAGAUGAAUUUGGUUGACUGGUUUAAGGGAAUGGUAACAAGUCGUGCAGCGUUGAGCUAGUCAGGGAGAUAAAUACAUUUUUCUAGGAUUAGUAUAAGGACUAAGUUUUUUAUGUACUUUGUAUCACUUUUUCUUUUCUUUUUUAUAUGGAAUGUUCAUAGAAUUUAAGUGCUAUAAGUAUUUUUUUUCUUUUUCA
This is a long non-coding RNA of Arachis stenosperma, 3572 nucleotides long. RefSeq lists it as uncharacterized. The record is from RefSeq and is a predicted model, not a curated record. The transcript has 4 exons. Lineage: Eukaryota; Viridiplantae; Streptophyta; Magnoliopsida; Fabales; Fabaceae.